ACCGUGGGCGACGACACCUCAUGCAGAUCUUGGGUUGACCCGUGGCUGGAGGGCAGCUCCAUCUCAUCCCUUGCCCCAUCGCCGACGGCCCUAGUCCCGGCCAGGAGGCGGCACACCCAUAUGGUGGCCACGACUCUCCUGAACCGCACUUGGAUAGCGGACAUCCAAGGAGCGCUUGGGCCGGCCACCGUCCUCGAGUAUGUGGACAUCUGGCGGCGGCUUCAGCACGUCGUGCUCUCCUCGCAGCCAGAUGUUAUUCAUUGGGGCUGGACUGCGAAUGGCAUCUACUCGGCUUCAUCCUGCUAUGCUGGCUUGUUUGAGGGAUCCAUAGCCUCCGAGCACUGGCGUCUCAUGUGGAAGUCUGGUGCUAUUCUGUCGGUGAAAUUCUUCCUGUGUCUGGCCUCUUUAAACCGCUGCUGGUCCGCCGACAGGCUCGCCCGACGGGGCCUGCCACAUGAGCCGACCUGCGUCCUCUGCCUGCAGGAGCCUGAGACCCUUCAUCACAUCCUUGUGGGCUGUGUCUUUGCGAGAGUCACCUGGCACGAGGUGCUCUCCUUGUGUCGAACGAUGGCACAACCACCAGAUGGCUCUUCCGCCUUCUUCAACUGGCUGUCCGCCGCUCUCCUCACCAUACCGGCUGCCGACCGCCGUGGCCUCACUACCAUGGCCGGUUCCACGGCAUGGACAAUGUGGCGCCAUCACAACUCAGUCAUCUUCGACAAGAUUACUCCCGCCACAUCAACUGUCGUUGAUGCUAUCAAGGACGAGGCUCGCUCCUGGGCAAAUGUCGGAGCCAAAGGACUGAAUGGUUUCAUCCCUGUAACCUGA
RNAcentral lists this ribosomal RNA (828 nucleotides) under Triticum aestivum (bread wheat). RNAcentral's name for it is "partial small subunit ribosomal RNA". The record is from RNAcentral. Lineage: Eukaryota; Viridiplantae; Streptophyta; Magnoliopsida; Poales; Poaceae.